RNAcentral lists this ribosomal RNA (1474 nucleotides) under uncultured bacterium. Its description in RNAcentral is "bacterial SSU rRNA". It matches the Rfam family "Bacterial small subunit ribosomal RNA". The record is from RNAcentral.
AGAGUUUGAUCAUGGCUCAGGACGAACGCUGGCGGCGUGCCUAAUACAUGCAAGUCGAACGAUGUGGCUCUUUCGGGAGCAUAUCAGUGGCGGACGGGUGAGUAACGCGUAGGUAACGUGCCCUGUACUGGGGGAUAACACCGGGAAACCGGUGCUAAUACCGCAUAAGACUGGCGUUGGAAUACGCCUCUUUAAAGCCCUGGCGGUACAGGAUCGGCCUGCGUAGGAUUAGCUUGUUGGUGAGGUAAUGGCUCACCAAGGCGACGAUCCUUAGUUGGUCUGAGAGGAUGACCAGCCACAGUGGGACUGAGACACGGCCCACACUUCUACGGAAGGCAGCAGUAGGGAAUAUUGCGCAAUGGGCGAAAGCCUGACGCAGCAACGCCGCGUGGAGGACGACACCCCUUGGGGCGUAAACUCCUGUCAGCAGGGAAGAUAAUGACGGUACCUGCAGAGGAAGCAUCGGCUAACUACGUGCCAGCAGCCGCGGUAAGACGUAGGAUGCAAGCGUUGUCCGAAUUUAUUGGGCGUAAAGAGUUCGUAGGCGGUGAACCAAGUCCGAUGUUAAAGACCGGGGCUCAACUCCGGCAUGGCAUUGGAAACUGGCUCGCUAGAGUUCGGUAGAGGUAAUGGGAAUUCCCGGUGUAGCGGUGAAAUGCGUAGAUAUCGGGAGGAACACCAGUGGCGAAAGCGCAUUACUGGGCCGAAACUGACGCUGAGGAACGAAAGCCAGGGGAGCGAAAGGGAUUAGAUACCCCUGUAGUCCUGGCCGUAAACGAUGGAUACUAGGUGUUGGUGGUAUCGACCCCUCCAGUACCGCAGCUAACGCGAUAAGUAUCCCGCCUGGGGAGUACGACCGCAAGGUUGAAACUCAAAGGAAUUGACGGGGGCCCGCACAAGCGGUGGAACAUGUGGUUUAAUUCGAUGCAACGCGAAGAACCUUACCUGGGCUUGACAUCUGGGGAAUCUCCGGGAAACCGGGGAGUGCCUUCGGGAACCCCAAGACAGGUGGUGCACGGUUGUCGUCAGCUCGUGUCGUGAGAUGUUGGGUUAAGUCCCGCAACGAGCGCAACCCUCGUGGUCUGUUGCUACAGGUGGAAACAUGCUGAGCACUCAGGCCAGACUGCCGGUGACAAACCGGAGGAAGGUGGGGAUGACGUCAAAUCAUCACGCCCCUUAUGUCCAGGGCGACACACGUGUUACAAUGGGCUAGGACAAUGGGUGGCUUGGCAGCAAUGUCCGGCAAAUCUCUAAACCUACCCUCAGUUCGGAUCGGAGUCUGCAACUCGACUCCGUGAAGUCGGAAUCGCUAGUAAAUGCCGAUCAGCACGCGGCAUCGAAUACGUUCCCGGGCCUUGUACACACCGCCCGUCACACCACGAAAGAAGGUUAUGCCCGAAGUCGGUGCUCCCACCCUUUGGGAGGAAGCCGCCGAAGGCAGCAUCUUUGAUUGGGGUGAAGUCGUAACAAGGUA